Molecule: transfer RNA, 74 nt
Filed under: Thermoprotei archaeon
Lineage: Archaea; Thermoproteati; Thermoproteota; Thermoprotei
Description: tRNA-Trp
Rfam family: tRNA
About the family: Transfer RNA (tRNA) molecules are approximately 80 nucleotides in length. Their secondary structure includes four short double-helical elements and three loops (D, anti-codon, and T loops).
Source: RNAcentral
GGGGCCGUAGCCUAGCAAGGUAUGGCGGCUGGCUCCAGACCAGCAGGUCGGGGGUUCAAGUCCCUCCGGCCCCA